This 493-nucleotide ribosomal RNA is filed under the name uncultured bacterium. Its description in RNAcentral is "partial 16S ribosomal RNA". It matches the Rfam family "Bacterial small subunit ribosomal RNA", at positions 30 to 523 of the family's 1533-position model. The record is from RNAcentral.
AUUGAACGCUGGCGGCAUGCCUUACACAAGCAAGUCGAACGGUAACAGGUUAAGCUGACGAGUGGCGAACGGGUGAGUAAUGUAUCGGAACGUGCCCAGUCGUGGGGGAUAACUGCUCGAAAGAGCAGCUAAUACCGCAUACGACCUGAGGGAGAAAGCGGGGGAUCGCAAGACCUCGCGCGAUUGGAGCGGCCGAUAUCAGAUUAGGUAGUUGGUGAGGCAAAGGCUCACCAAGCCGACGAUCUGUAGCUGGUCUGAGAGGACGACCAGCCACACUGGGACUGAGACACGGCCCAAAUUCCUACGUGAGGCAGCAGUGGGUGAUUUUGGACAAUGGGCGCAAGCCUGAUCCAGCCAUGCCGCGUGCGUGAAGCAGUCCUUCGGGUUGUAAACCGCUUUUGUCAGGAAAGAAAAGGUUCUGGCUAAUACCUGGGACUCAUGACGGUACCUGAAGAAUAAGCACCGGCUAACUACGUGCCAGCAGCCGCCGUAA